Molecule: ribosomal RNA, 460 nt
Filed under: uncultured bacterium
Lineage: Bacteria
Description: partial 16S ribosomal RNA
Rfam family: Bacterial small subunit ribosomal RNA
Source: RNAcentral
CCUACGGGUGGCAGCAGUGAGGAAUAUUGGUCAAUGGACGAGAGUCUGAACCAGCCAAGUAGCGUGAAGGAUGACUGCCCUAUGGGUUGUAAACUUCUUUUAUAUGGGAAUAAAAUGUUCCACGUGUGGGAUUUUGUAUGUACCAUAUGAAUAAGGAUCGGCUAACUCCGUGCCAGCAGCCGCGGUAAUACGGAGGAUCCGAGCGUUAUCCGGAUUUAUUGGGUUUAAAGGGAGCGUAGGUGGAUUGUUAAGUCAGUUGUGAAAGUUUGCGGCUCAACCGUAAAAUUGUAGUUGAAACUGGCAGUCUUGAGUACAGUAGAGGUGUGCGGAAUGCGUGGUGUAGCGGUGAAAUGCUUAGAUAUCACGAAGAAAUCCGAUUGCGAAGGCAGUUCACUGGACUGCAACUGACACUGAGGCUCGAAAGUGUGGGUAUCAAACAGGAUUAGAUACACCAGUAGUC